UGGCACGCGAGACAGACCUCCCCGCUUGGCGGCAGUCUGAUGGUGAAAUCAGUCCGUGCCAACCCCUGUCGUUGGCCUUGCACCCCGUGCAUUCAGCAUCAGGUCGAGCACAACACAACUGCACGCACGCACGCACGGUCAAUCUUAAUCUGGACGUGAUAAAUCUAUUCGGGAUGCAUCGCUAAUUCACGCGCAACGGCUUCUGUACAGGGAGCUCGUGGCGCCGCGACUACUAGUCGUCACCCCCCUUGCGGAUCGUCGAGAAUUUCACUAUCGAUUUGCCCCUCGACAGAUUUCUACGUUUAUUAGGAGAAUCAAAAGUGGAUACAGUUUAUGUUGUAUUUCGAACAUAAUUUGUACAGUUUUACUUAGAUUACUUUGGAAAAUAUAAUUUUGU
This is a long non-coding RNA of Apis florea (little honeybee), 397 nucleotides long. RefSeq lists it as uncharacterized. The record is from RefSeq and is a predicted model, not a curated record. Lineage: Eukaryota; Metazoa; Arthropoda; Insecta; Hymenoptera; Apidae.